Drosophila biarmipes is the source of this 105-nucleotide small nuclear RNA. The record is from RefSeq and is a predicted model, not a curated record. NCBI's taxonomy places the organism in Eukaryota, Metazoa, Arthropoda, Insecta, Diptera, Drosophilidae.
AUUUGCUUCGGCAGAACAUAUACUAAAAUUGGAACGAUACAGAGAAGAUUAGCAUGGCCCCUGCGCAAGGAUGUCAUAUUGUUAAAUUCAGAAAUGAAAUUUUAA